GAUGAACGCUGGCGGCGUGCCUAAUACAUGCAAGUCGAGCGAACAGACGAGGCGCUUGCUCCUCUGACGAUAGCGGCGGAGGGGUGAAUAACAUGUGUAAAACCCCCCUAUAAGACUGGGAUCACUUCGGGACACCGGCUCUAACACCGGAUAAUAUAUUGAACCGUAUGGUUCAAUAGUGAAAGACGGUUUUGCUGUCACUUAUAGAUGGAUCCGCGCCGCAUUAGCUAGUUGGUAAGGUAACGGCUUACCAAGGCAACGAUGCGUAGCCGACCUGAGAGGGUGAUCGGCCACACUGGAACGGAGACACGGUCCAGACUCCUACGGGAGGCAGCAGUAGGGAAUCUUCCGCAAUGGGCGAAAGCCUGACGGAGCAACGCCGCGUGAGUGAUGAAGGUCUUCGGAUCGUAAAACUCUGUUAUUAGGGAAGAACAAAUGUGUAAGUAACUAUGCACGUCUUGACGGUACCUAAUCAGAAAGCCACGGCUAACUACGUG
This 497-nucleotide ribosomal RNA is filed under the name uncultured bacterium. Its description in RNAcentral is "partial 16S ribosomal RNA". It matches the Rfam family "Bacterial small subunit ribosomal RNA", at positions 28 to 507 of the family's 1533-position model. The record is from RNAcentral.